RNAcentral lists this ribosomal RNA (253 nucleotides) under uncultured bacterium. RNAcentral's name for it is "partial 16S ribosomal RNA". It matches the Rfam family "Bacterial small subunit ribosomal RNA", at positions 524 to 776 of the family's 1533-position model. The record is from RNAcentral.
GACAGAGGGUGCAAACGUUGUUCGGAAUUACUGGGCGUAAAGCGCGUGUAGGCUGCUCGGAAAGUCGGAUGUGAAAGCCCUGGGCUUAACCUAGGAAGUGCAUUCGAAACUUCCGAGCUGGAGUUCUGGAGAGGAAGGCGGAAUUCUCGGUGUAGAGGUGAAAUUCGUAGAUAUCGGGAGGAACACCAGCGGCGAAGGCGGCCUUCUGGACGGUGACUGACGCUGAGACGCGAAAGCGUGGGGAGCAAACAGG